CCUACGGGCGGCAGCAGUGGGGAAUAUUGGGCAAUGGAGGAAACUCUGACCCAGCAACGCCGCGUGAAUGAUGAAGGUCUUCGGAUUGUAAAGUUCUUUUCUAAGGGAAGAAGAAAGUGACGUUACCUUAUGAAUAAGCCUCGGCUAACUCCGUGCCAGCAGCCGCGGUAAUCCGUAGGAGGAAAGCGUUAUCCGGAAUGACUGGGCGUAAAGGGGGCGUAGGUGGUUUGACAAGUUGGUAGCGUAACUCCGGGGCUCAACCUCGGCACUCCUACGAAAACUGGCGGACUUGAGUGCAGGAGGGGCAGAUGGAAUGCCUAGUGUAGCGGUGGAAUGCGUAGAUAUUAGGAGGAACACCAGUGGCGAAGGCGAUUUGCUGGACUGUAACUGACACUGAGGCACGAAAGCGUGGGGAGCAAACAGGAUUAGAUACCCUAGUAGUC
Molecule: ribosomal RNA, 443 nt
Filed under: uncultured bacterium
Lineage: Bacteria
Description: partial 16S ribosomal RNA
Rfam family: Bacterial small subunit ribosomal RNA
Source: RNAcentral